CCUACGGGAGACAGCAGUGAGGAAUAUUGGUCAAUGGGCGAGAGCCUGAACCAGCCAAGUCGCGUGAGGGAGUACUGCCCUAUGGGUUGUAAACCUCUUUUGUCGGGGAGCAAAAGCCGGACGUGUCCGGCUGUGAUAGUACCCGAAGAAAAAGCAUCGACUAACUCCGUGCCAGCCGCCGCGGUAAUACGGGGGAUGCGAGCGUUAUCCGGAUUUAUUGGGUUUAAAGGGUGCGCAGGCGGAUUUUUAAGUCAGCGGUCAAAUCGUGGGGCUCAACCCCAUCCAGCCGUUGAAACUGGGGAUCUAGAGUGUGCGAGAGGUAGGCGGAAUGCGUGGUGUAGCGGUGAAAUGCAUAGAUAUCACGCAGAACCCCGAUUGCGAAGGCAGCAUACCGGUGCACAACUGACGCUCAGGCACGAAAGCGUGGGUAUCGAACAGGAUUAGAUACCCGAGUAGUC
Molecule: ribosomal RNA, 458 nt
Filed under: uncultured bacterium
Lineage: Bacteria
Description: partial 16S ribosomal RNA
Rfam family: Bacterial small subunit ribosomal RNA
Source: RNAcentral